UGAAAAUAGUAUUGUAAUCAUCCAAGUUAGUUAAGUAAACGAGAAAUAUAUUAUUAUAGGUUUAGUAUAUGUAGAUAUCACAAUGAUUCACAGUUUGUUUAUCAUCAACGCUUCAAUGUGAGUAGAUUUGAGAUAUAUGAUGGAUAUAUAUGGGUUAAUGUUUUUUAUAGAUCAAAUUUCCUCUCUAGGCCUUCUUGGUUUGUUAGUUUACACCAAUCAUUUAUGCAGUUGAGGAACUUGUGUUUGAUUGCUGUGGAUGGCAGACGUUUAUGGCUGUUCAAAAGACAUCAGGCCAUGGAAAAAUAAUAAGUUUUAUUAUCGACUGAAGAAAGUAACUGGGGACAAGCCCAUUCUCCUAAAAACAUUCCUCUGUUGUGAAAAAAUGCUUUGGAAAAAUUCGCACCCUUGCUGGCCAGAGUUGGCCAAAGAUCAUAUUUUCACCUAAAGUUUGCACUAAUAUUGAGCUGUACAAUUUUCUGGGAGAGGUCUCACUGGUCUGUUUGCAACAUUGAAGGCUUCCCACGUGUACGCAAGCGUACCAAUUUUUGUUAAUGCAUUUUGUCAAAUUCACAGAAUGUCCGAAGUUUUUUCAUGAGCAAGGUUGCAAGGUCAACAAAAUGGUGACAGAAACGAUAAAGUCACGAGCUGCAGAAGAAGGCAUUCGUGCUGUCAGACGGAAGCAAAAACGGUGAAGAAGUGGAGGUUGUUGAAACUUUUCAAGAACGUUACGAAUCUAAAGGUGAAGGAGCGGAAUAUUACCCCGACUAUGAAAGUAAGUUAUACUAUCAAAUUUUUGUAUAAGGCACUUAUAAAUUGUAUCUUCCAUACGUAGUGAUAUACUUUCUAACAUUCAACAUAUACUCCUUGAUUAUGCUUUUCCUUGUUAUCUCGUCAUCUCAGGAUAUUUUACUUCUCCUUGCGCCCCAUAUUUUUAAGCAUUUUCGAUUCAAAAUCCCUUCAUGAGAUUGUUCGUGUAAGAUAAUAAUAAUAUCCAUAAUAACUAUAAAAAUAGCUUAACAAGCAUUUGUGCAAACUGAACGAUUUUCCAAAGCUAUAGUUUACAAAGUUUAGGUGUUGAACAACACAAAAUAAGUCAGUUUUAAGUUAAUGUCGUCGUCACAAAAGAGCUUUUGACAAUUCAGAUCAACCUUCGGCAUACAAGUUUCAGGCACCGCCGGGGAUCAAUAAUUAGGGGGGGAUCAUAUUCAAUAAUAACCAAAAUAAUUUUGAUACACUUGGCGAAGCAAAAAAAGUCAAAACAUGAUAAGCCUUUUGGAUUUUUAUGUCUUCCGAGAGGUAGCGGUUUUUUCCAACCGAAUUUCUAUGCGCGCUUUGUGUUUGGUGAACUCUCUUAUUGACGAUUGCUUCAUACAAAGGAAGGAUUUUGGUUUUCAAUGAAUGCCGCCGAUUCCUUCAAAAGGCUUGCAACUUCAUUGACUGAUGUUAUAGGGCGAGCCAUUCGUGAAACUAUUACGAACUCUGCCGAGGUAAGCAGUACAUUUGUCUAUGGCAAUUAAAUCAAACUAUAUGUAACUCUGUGUAUAAAGUAUCAGGUAUUGCUUGUUGAUUUCCUACAAUUUCCAUAAUGGCGAUAAUGGAAAAAUACCUAUUCAAAUGUGCUGCUUACCUUGGCAGAGUUCGUAAUAGUUUCACGAACGGCUGGCCCUAUAACAUCAGAGAAAUAUUUAUAUAAUUAUUCUUUUACCGAAUUAAAUAUUCUCCAUUGUAAGAAUGAAAAUCCAUAAUUAUGUUAUGCUUGAAAUAUGGAGUAGAUCUGAAACAAUUGAACUUUUUGCAAAUACAUGUAUUCUUAACAAAAGUAGUUGUUGAGCAGAACAUUGUUUUGUGAAAAUCUUUGCUGUUAGUAAAACAGCAUUGGAGCUUUUUAUCUUUAUAUUUUUUACUACAUGUCUUAGGUCAUCUUACACAACGUUUUGAGAAUGCUUUUAGAUCCAUUCAAUUUCAGACAUCUCAUCGUUAUAGAAACAAUCUUCACUUGGCAUAAAGUCUUUUAGUUGUUUAUCUCUUUGAAGACUUCUCAUAUUCUUUGUUUCGUAUGGUCAUGCAAUAUCCUUAUAUAUGUUGAUAAGAAUUAUUUAUAAAUAAAAUAAUGGAACGGUGUAAUAAAGAAGAUAUUAUUUUUAUUGUA
Xenia sp. Carnegie-2017 is the source of this 2149-nucleotide long non-coding RNA. RefSeq lists it as uncharacterized. The transcript has 6 exons. The record is from RefSeq and is a predicted model, not a curated record. NCBI's taxonomy places the organism in Eukaryota, Metazoa, Cnidaria, Anthozoa, Malacalcyonacea, Xeniidae.